Molecule: ribosomal RNA, 448 nt
Filed under: uncultured bacterium
Lineage: Bacteria
Description: partial 16S ribosomal RNA
Rfam family: Bacterial small subunit ribosomal RNA
Source: RNAcentral
AACGAACGCUGGCGGCAUGCCUAACACAUGCAAGUCGAACGAGAUCUUCGGGUCUAGUGGCGCACGGGUGCGUAACGCGUGGGAAUCUGCCCUUUGGUUCGGAAUAACAGUUGGAAACGACUGCUAAUACCGGAUGAUGACGAAAGUCCAAAGAUUUAUCGCCAGAGGAUGAGCCCGCGUAGGAUUAGCUAGUUGGUGUGGUAAAGGCGCACCAAGGCGACGACCCUUGGCUGGUCUGAGAGGAUGAUCAGCCACACUGGGCUGAGACACGGCCCAGACUCCUACGGGAGGCAGCAGUGGGGAAUAUUGGACAAUGGGCGAAAGCCUGAUCCAGCAAUGCCGCGUGAGUGAUGAAGGCCUUAGGGUUGUAAAGCUCUUUUACCCGGGAUGAUAAUGACAGUACCGGGAGAAUAAGCUCCGGCUAACUCCGUGCUAGCAGCCGCAGUAA